RNAcentral lists this long non-coding RNA (612 nucleotides) under Carica papaya (papaya). RNAcentral describes it as "long non-coding RNA (CPAP_LNC011796)". The record is from RNAcentral. Lineage: Eukaryota; Viridiplantae; Streptophyta; Magnoliopsida; Brassicales; Caricaceae.
UUUCAAGAAAAAGUUUCUUUCUUUGAAAGGGAAUGCCUUUAAACCCAAGUAUAGAAUCAUAUAUUGAGUGUAUCAAGGUUUAAGAAGCUUAAGAAUACCAGCAUAGAAUGUGUAGAUGAAAUGAGAGGCCAAAUUCUUUAAAAGACCCCAUAUAUAUAUAAUUAAUUUAUAUUUCUCCGACGGGUAUGAAAGGCAUAGUGUGGUACCUCCUUUGUUGUGCUAUACUUGCAGGCUCAUUUCAGGAUACCCUUUGAAGGGUAAUAGUGAUCAUGGUCAUGGAACUUUCCUGAUAUCGCUGUUCCUGAUAUCUGGUGAAGGAAAAAAAGGCUUCUUGAUCUGGUGUGAAAAUGGCAAAGAACCAGAACCUCAAAGAUCUACAAUGGGUUCUGCAAGCAAUUAAAACAGAAAGCCUGAACCUUCACAGCAUUUCCUUCUACCUUUCUCAGCCAAUUUCAGGAUGUUACCAAGAAACUGAGAAUUCCAUGAACAUCAACAUUGAAAAAGACAGCAGUACUCACCUUGCCCACAUCCUCAUUGAGUUAGCAACAGCACAAGACACCCAGCCAUCUCUCAGAAACUUGGAGUUGCACUGUGUUGAAUGGGAGUCAGAAC